UUGCCUCAGUAACGGCGAGUGAAGCGGCAACAGCUCAAAUUUGAAAUCUGGCUUCGGCCCGAGUUGUAAUUUGUAGAGGAAGCUUUUGGUGAAGCACCGACCGAGUCCCCUGGAACGGGGCGCCAUAGAGGGUGAGAGCCCCGUAUGGUCGGAUGCCGAUCCUCUGUAAAGCUCCUUCGACGAGUCGAGUAGUUUGGGAAUGCUGCUCAAAAUGGGAGGUAAAUUUCUUCUAAAGCUAAAUAUUGGCCAGAGACCGAUAGCGCACAAGUAGAGUGAUCGAAAGAUGAAAAGCACUUUGAAAAGAGGGUUAAAUAGCACGUGAAAUUGUUGAAAGGGAAGCGCUUGUGACCAGACUUGCGCCCCGUCGAUCAUCCGGGGUUCUCCCCGGUGCACUCGGCGGGGCUCAGGCCAGCAUCGGUUUUCGCGGGGGGACAAAGGUCCCGGGAACGUAGCUCCUCCGGGAGUGUUAUAGCCCGGGGCGUAAUGCCCUCGCGGGGACCGAGGACCGCGCUUCGGCAAGGAUGCUGGCGUAAUGGUCAUCAGCGACCCGUCUUGAAACACGGACCAAGGAGUCAAGGUUUUGCGCGAGUGUUUGGGUGUAAAACCCGCACGCGUAAUGAAAGUGAACGUAGGUGAGAGCUUCGGCGCAUCAUCGACCGAUCCUGAUGUAUUCGGAUGGAUUUGAGUAGGAGCGUUAAGCCUUGGACCCGAAAGAUGGUGAACUAUGCUUGGAUAGGGUGAAGCCAGAGGAAACUCUGGUGGAGGCUCGCAGCGGUUCUGACGUGCAAAUCGAUCGUCAAAUCUGAGCAUGGGGGCGAAAGACUAAUCGAACCAUCUAGUAGCUGGUUACCGCCGAAGUUUCCCUCAGGAUAGCAGUGUUGUUCUUCAGUUUUAUGAGGUAAAGCGAAUGAUUAGGGACUCGGGGGCGCUUUUUAGCCUUCAUCCAUUCUCAAACUUUAAAUAUGUAAGAAGCCCUUGUUACUUAAUUGAACGUGGGCAUU
This 1001-nucleotide ribosomal RNA is filed under the name Triangularia arizonensis. Its description in RNAcentral is "LSU rRNA". It matches the Rfam family "Eukaryotic large subunit ribosomal RNA", at positions 75 to 1109 of the family's 3401-position model. The record is from RNAcentral. Lineage: Eukaryota; Fungi; Ascomycota; Sordariomycetes; Sordariales; Podosporaceae.